RNAcentral lists this ribosomal RNA (253 nucleotides) under uncultured bacterium. Its description in RNAcentral is "partial 16S ribosomal RNA". It matches the Rfam family "Bacterial small subunit ribosomal RNA", at positions 524 to 776 of the family's 1533-position model. The record is from RNAcentral.
UACGUAGGGUGCAGGCGUUAAUCGGAAUUACUGGGCGUAAAGCGUGCGCAGGCGGUUCGUCGUGUCUGAUGUGAAAGCCCCGGGCUCAACCUGGGAAUGGCAUUGGAAACUGGCGGACUAGAGUGUGGCAGAGGGGGGUGGAAUUCCGCGUGUAGCAGUGAAAUGCGUAGAGAUGCGGAGGAACACCGAUGGCGAAGGCAGCCCCCUGGGCUAACACUGACGCUCAGGCACGAAAGCGUGGGGAGCAAACAGG